RNAcentral lists this ribosomal RNA (529 nucleotides) under uncultured archaeon. RNAcentral's name for it is "bacterial SSU rRNA". It matches the Rfam family "Archaeal small subunit ribosomal RNA", at positions 465 to 997 of the family's 1478-position model. The record is from RNAcentral.
CCGCGGUAACACCGGCAGCUCUAGUGGUAGCUGUUUAUGGGCCUAAAGCGUCGUAGCCGGUUAAUAAGUCUCUGGUGAAAUCCUAUAGCUUAACUGUGGGAAUUGCUGGAGAUACUAUUAGACUUGAGAUCGGGAGAGGUCAGAGGUACUCCUGGGGUAGGGGUGAAAUCCUGUAAUCCUAGGAGGACCACCUGUGGCGAAGGCGUCUGACUAGAACGAAUCUGACGGUGAGGAACGAAAGCUAGGGGCGCGAACCGGAUUAGAUACCCGGGUAGUCCUAGCCGUAAACUAUGCGGACUUGGUGUGAGGGUGGCUUUGAGCCGUCCUGGUGCCGAAGGGAAGCUGUUAAGUCCGCCGCCUGGGAAGUACGGUCGCAAGACUGAAACUUAAAGGAAUUGACGGGGGAGCACCACAACGCGUGGAGCCCUGCGGUUUAAUUGGAUUCAACGCCGGAGAUCUCACCAGCGGCGACAGCAGUAUGAUGACCAGGUUGAUGACUUUGUUUGACAAGCUGAGGGGUGGUGCAUGG